Molecule: ribosomal RNA, 405 nt
Filed under: uncultured bacterium
Lineage: Bacteria
Description: partial 16S ribosomal RNA
Rfam family: Bacterial small subunit ribosomal RNA
Source: RNAcentral
AAUGAACGCUGGCGGCAGGCCUAACACAUGCAAGUCGAACGCGUGGCGGGCGGGUGUGUAAUGCUUGGGACUCUCGCUUAUGGAGGGGGAUAACUCCGGGAACCUGUAGUUAAUACCGCUUACCAUUGGCUGAGCCCAGGUGGGAUUAGGUAGUGGGUGAGGUAAAGGCUCACCAAGCAGACGAUCUCUAGCUGGUCUGAGAGGAUGACCGGCAACACUGGGACUGAGACACGGCCCAGACUCCUACGGGAGGCAGCAGUGGGGAAUAUUGCGAAAUGGGGGAAAGCUGACGCAGCCAUGCCGCGUGAAUGAAGAAGGCCUUCGGGUUGUAAAGUUCUGUCAGUAGCGAAGCGUUAACUACAGAAGAAGCACCGGCUAACUCCGUGCCAGCAGCCGCGGUAAUAC